Molecule: ribosomal RNA, 853 nt
Filed under: Vibrio alginolyticus
Lineage: Bacteria; Pseudomonadati; Pseudomonadota; Gammaproteobacteria; Vibrionales; Vibrionaceae
Description: bacterial SSU rRNA
Rfam family: Bacterial small subunit ribosomal RNA
Source: RNAcentral
GUCGAGCGGAAACGAGUUAUCUGAACCUUCGGGGGACGAUAACGGCGUCGAGCGGCGGACGGGUGAGUAAUGCCUAGGAAAUUGCCCUGAUGUGGGGGAUAACCAUUGGAAACGAUGGCUAAUACCGCAUGAUGCCUACGGGCCAAAGAGGGGGACCUUCGGGCCUCUCGCGUCAGGAUAUGCCUAGGUGGGAUUAGCUAGUUGGUGAGGUAAGGGCUCACCAAGGCAACGAUCCCUAGCUGGUCUGAGAGGAUGAUCAGCCACACUGGAACUGAGACACGGUCCAGACUCCUACGGGAGGCAGCAGUGGGGAAUAUUGCACAAUGGGCGCAAGCCUGAUGCAGCCAUGCCGCGUGUAUGAAGAAGGCCUUCGGGUUGUAAAGUACUUUCAGUCGUGAGGAAGGUAGUGUAUUUAAUAGAUGCAUCAUUUGACGUUAGCGACAGAAGAAGCACCGGCUAACUCCGUGCCAGCAGCCGCGGUAAUACGGAGGGUGCGAGCGUUAAUCGGAAUUACUGGGCGUAAAGCGCAUGCAGGUGGUUUGUUAAGUCAGAUGUGAAAGCCCGGGGCUCAACCUCGGAAUAGCAUUUGAAACUGGCAGACUAGAGUACUGUAGAGGGGGGUAGAAUUUCAGGUGUAGCGGUGAAAUGCGUAGAGAUCUGAAGGAAUACCGGUGGCGAAGGCGGCCCCCCUGGACAGAUACUGACACUCAGAUGCGAAAGCGUGGGGGAGCAAACAGGAUUAGAUACCCUGGUAGUCCACGCCGUAAACGAUGUCUACUUGGAGGUUGUGGCCUUGAGCCCGUGGCUUUCGGAGCUAACGCGUUAAGUAGACCGCCUGGGGGAGUACGGUCGC